This 207-nucleotide ribosomal RNA is filed under the name uncultured bacterium. RNAcentral describes it as "partial 16S ribosomal RNA". It matches the Rfam family "Bacterial small subunit ribosomal RNA", at positions 568 to 774 of the family's 1533-position model. The record is from RNAcentral.
UCCGCAGGGGGUUUGCCAAGUCCGAUGUGAAAUCUCAUGGCUCAACUGUGAAACUGCAUUGGAUACUGGCGGACUGGAGUGUGCGAGAGGUGAGCGGAAUUCCUGGUGUAGCGGUGGAAUGCGUAGAUAUCAGGAAGAACACCGAUGGCGAAGGCAGCUCACUGGCGCAGCACUGACCCUCAGGGACGAAAGCGUGGGGAGCAAACA